GAAUCAUUUCAUGGGCGAGGGCUUUGGACCAAGAGCCAAGCAGAAAAUAGCAAAGGCGCCUGCCUAUAGGACGUGGAAAGGAGACGAAAGGCAAUCAAAACAGCUUUGUCGACAUUCAGAAAGCAGGAUUUGGUGUCCUCAUCGGUCAGAUAUAUCUUCGUUACACUGUGUACACAUUUCAACGCAGAUAGUUUGACGUCGAUUACACUGAAGAUCCUAUCUGCUGUCUAAAACUGGAUCAAACUCUUCCUCCUCCAGCUCUGAUGGGAAUGUUAGUUUGCUGACUGCUGCGGCCCUUGUCAUUGUCAUCGUUAUAUGUGUUUGCUGUGGGUUGUGUCUCUGGAAUGCCUGGCUCAGGAUGCAGCCGCUGAGCAGUCCACUCCUUUCAGGAGCCAAGGGGAGGCGUGAUUGGCCGCUGGCCUUAUCUGGGUGGAGCUGUAGGAGGGAUAUUACUUAUUCAUUGGCACGUUCUGCAAGGCCCCUCCCACCUCACUGACGCUCUGCCCUUGGCCCCUGUUAGCUGCCUGUGUAUCUGGGAAUGCUGUUGUUGCAUCAGAGGGGCAGUGUUGGAGUUGGCCGAACUCGGGGGCUAAGGUCAGGGUCAAGAUUCAAGGGUCAACACAACUCAGAAGCUGCAGGGGUGGAUGUGGAAGGACCUGAAGCCAAGCUGCAGGCACCAACAGGCAUAAGCUGUAUGCACUGUGGAAAUCAGCUUGUUCUAACUCCACACCUGACCCCUGGAAACUAAAGCCUUUCAUCUAUGAGACGGGAAGCUUACUUUCACUUCCACAGCCUUGUUGCACUUGUUCAGACAUCCUAGAACUCUCUGGAGCUAGUGUCUUUAUUAUUUAACACUGCACAACUUCCCCUGAAACAAUCAC
RNAcentral lists this long non-coding RNA (881 nucleotides) under Sinocyclocheilus anshuiensis. RNAcentral's name for it is "lncRNA (ENSSANG00000008768.1)". Lineage: Eukaryota; Metazoa; Chordata; Actinopteri; Cypriniformes; Cyprinidae. The record is from RNAcentral.